RNAcentral lists this unclassified non-coding RNA (273 nucleotides) under Hevea brasiliensis (rubber tree). Lineage: Eukaryota; Viridiplantae; Streptophyta; Magnoliopsida; Malpighiales; Euphorbiaceae. The record is from RNAcentral.
CCCCCCUCUCUGUCGAAUUCAACCUCUUUAUUGCGUACACGUUAUCCAAACACGGAAUGUACUCCCUCAUACUCUCCGGACAGAGCUCAAAUCUCUUAACCCUGACUCUAAUAUCCUUCUCACCACUCUCAACUCCAGUCUCAUUUCCCCAAUUCUCCACAACCUCUGGAUCGAACUCCCCAACCUCAAAAUCAUCGCUCAUUCUUCCAUCACUGUCAAUAAUCCCAAACGUCCGAUUCGUAUCAGACUGCGAAGAUUGAACAAUGGGCAAAG